GCGUCAGUCGCAAGAUGAAGCGUUGAAUUGGAGCCGAGUAAACGGCGGCCGUAACUAUAACGGUCCUAAGGUAGCGAAAUUCCUUGUCGGUUAAAUACCGACCUGCAUGAAUGGCGUAACGAGAUGGGAGCUGUCUCAACCAGAGAUUCAGUGAAAUUGUAGUGGAGGUGAAAAUUCCUCCUACCCGCGGCAAGACGGAAAGACUCCGUGGACCUUUACUACAACUUAGCACUG
RNAcentral lists this ribosomal RNA (234 nucleotides) under Helicobacter pylori. Its description in RNAcentral is "partial 23S ribosomal RNA". It matches the Rfam family "Bacterial large subunit ribosomal RNA", at positions 1887 to 2119 of the family's 2925-position model. The record is from RNAcentral. Lineage: Bacteria; Pseudomonadati; Campylobacterota; Epsilonproteobacteria; Campylobacterales; Helicobacteraceae.